This 266-nucleotide long non-coding RNA is filed under the name Linum usitatissimum (flax). RNAcentral's name for it is "long non-coding RNA (LUSI_LNC003438)". The record is from RNAcentral. Lineage: Eukaryota; Viridiplantae; Streptophyta; Magnoliopsida; Malpighiales; Linaceae.
GAAGAGGCCUAAGGGAACCCUCCGAUAACGACGUGGCCUUGGAUUACAAGUAAUGGGACAUGAGAUUGGGAUACCGCCCUCUCCUUUUUUCUUUUCUUUUUUUCUUAAAACCUAGUAGAUGCUCAAUGACAUCUAUCCCAAAAUUGGGACCACUUUCCCCCUUUUUCCUUUGCUUGUCUUAAUUAUGAAUGGCAGUCUGGAUAUCAUAUUCUUGUCAACUAUUAUUUAUACAUUAAUUACCGACGUAUAUACCGAUUGAAUCAAAA